AAUAAUACUAGGCUCUGUUUAUCUCUUUCUUUGUACUCUCAUUUUAGAUCCAUGACAUGGUAAACUUUGAUGUAUAUUAGCGUACGGAUUGAUUACUUGGCUGCACCUAUUUUAUUUUCUCUAUUUUCUUACUAAUGUUUGAGAGGCAGAUGUCCCUUUUCUAAUGGUUUGUCGUUUUAUUUUCUUUGUUUCGCAUGUACAACCGGAGCCGAAGAGUUUCACUUUGAGACUCAAUGACACCGCUUACGGAUUCGUACACCCUUCAUUGUCUACCCUCUUACUUUGCUUGAGCGGAAAAUUUGCAGAAUAUCGCUACCCCUUAUGAAAGCCAAAAAUGGCUUUUAUCAUUUUAUAUCCCUUUGACUUGUUCAUUAGUGUGUUUAAAAUUCCCUAUGUGACUAACCUUUUAUUUCUAUUUUGUGUUGUUGGCUGUUAAACCUGAGUUACUACUAUAUAAUUCAUAGCCAAUGCUAAACAAAUAUUU
This is a long non-coding RNA of Lycium ferocissimum, 484 nucleotides long. RefSeq lists it as uncharacterized. The record is from RefSeq and is a predicted model, not a curated record. The transcript has 2 exons. Lineage: Eukaryota; Viridiplantae; Streptophyta; Magnoliopsida; Solanales; Solanaceae.